This 497-nucleotide ribosomal RNA is filed under the name uncultured bacterium. RNAcentral's name for it is "partial 16S ribosomal RNA". It matches the Rfam family "Bacterial small subunit ribosomal RNA", at positions 36 to 507 of the family's 1533-position model. The record is from RNAcentral.
UCUUCCCUCUUUCUUCGUGCCUCCUCCCUGCACGUCGAGCGCACGGACGAGAAGCUUGCUUCUCUGAUGUUAGCGGCGGACGGGUGAGUAACACGUGGAUAACCUACCUAUAAGACUGGGAUAACUUCGGGAAACCGUAGCUAAUACCGGAUAAUAUUUUGAACCGCAUGGUUCAAAAGUGAAAGACGGUCUUGCUGUCACUUAUAGAUGGAUCCGCGCUGCAUUAGCUAGUUGGUAAGGUAACGGCUUACCAAGGCAACGAUGCAUAGCCGACCUGAGAGGGUGAUCGGCCACACUGGAACUGAGACACGGUCCAGACUCCUACGGGAGGCAGCAGUAGGGAAUCUUCCGCAAUGGGCGAAAGCCUGACGGAGCAACGCCGCGUGAGUGAUGAAGGUCUUCGGAUCGUAAAACUCUGUGAUUAGGGAAGAACAUAUGUGUAAGUAACUGUGCACAUCUUGACGGUACCUAAUCAGAAAGCCACGGCUAACUACGUG